Molecule: ribosomal RNA, 547 nt
Filed under: uncultured bacterium
Lineage: Bacteria
Description: bacterial SSU rRNA
Rfam family: Bacterial small subunit ribosomal RNA
Source: RNAcentral
AAUAGAUACCCCGGUAGUCCACCCCGUAAACGUUGGAAACUAGUUGUGGGGUCCUUUCCACGGAUUCCGUGACGCAGCUAACGCAUUAAGUUCCCCGCCUGGGGAGUACGGCCGCAAGGCUAAAACUCAAAGGAAUUGACGGGGACCCGCACAAGCGGCGGAGCAUGCGGAUUAAUUCGAUGCAACGCGAAGAACCUUACCAAGGCUUGACAUACACCAGAACACCCUGGAAACCAGGGGACUCUUUGGACACUGGUGAACAGGUGGUGCAUGGUUGUCGUCAGCUCGUGUCGUGAGAUGUUGGGUUAAGUCCCGCAACGAGCGCAACCCUCGUUCUAUGUUGCCAGCACGUUAUGGUGGGAACUCAUGGGAUACUGCCGGGGUCAACUCGGAGGAAGGUGGGGAUGACGUCAAAUCAUCGAUGCCCCUUAUGUCUUGGGCUUCACGCAUGCUACAAUGGCCGGUACAAUGGGCUGCGAUACCGUAAGGUGGAGCGAAUCCCAAAAAGCCGGUCCCAGUUCGGAUUGAGGUCUGCAACUCGACCUCA